ACUCCGUCUCAAAAAAAAAAGAAAAAAAAAAAAAGAGAGAGACUGUUUAAUCAGCUUCCAUAGUUGCAUAAGGUGAAAUCCUUGUCUGUCUGUCUAUCUAUCUAUCUAUCUAUCUAUCUAUCUAUCUAUCUAUCUAUCUAUCAUCUAUUAAUCAUCUAUCUUUUUCUCUAUCUAGCUGUCUAUUUGGAUGUCUGGCCAUCUUAUCCCCAAAAAGUUCUUCUUCUCUGUCUGAACCCUGACUUACACAUAGGACAAAUAAAUUUCAAAUCCAAAUAAAAUUUCACAUACCAGGUAUUUUAAAAUUCUACUGAAAUUCUACUAUUAGAACAGUUACCUCUAGCUUGCAGGCCAUUCAAGUGCAUAGUAGUCACAAACAGACAAAAGCAUCAAUGGUGGAUUAAAGACAACUGCAAAUUCUUUGAUAUUUCUCCCAUUUAGAGGUGGGGUCUACUUUCCCUUUUCUUGAAUCUAGGCUGGCCUGUGACUGCUUUGGCCAAUUGAAUAGGGAAGAGUGAUGCUGUGCUGUUUCCAGGCCUGUUCUUUAAAAGGACUUGGAAGCUUCUGCCUUGGCCUCUUGGUGCCUGAGUUGCUGUAUAAGAAUCUGACUUCCUUGCUGGAGAGACCUUGUGGAGAAGACUUGACCUUAUAUGCAGAGGUAGAGGAGCCCUGGUUAGUCCAGCCAUCUAGCCAUGCUGUCAAAAUAGCAGAUCCAUUUCCUGCCCUUGUCUUACUCUACUCUGCAUUACAGCCAACCACAUUUCCAGGCUCCCUUGUCCUCUGCUAUCUAGGAACGUGCACCUCUGCUUGGAGUGUUGUCUCUCCUGCCAUGUGUACCUGGACAUGCUGGGGAGAGAAAGUGGACUUCAAGGACGUGGAGGAGUUGAAUAUUAGUUUUGUAUACAUCAACAGACCACCUUCUACUUCCACAACAAGGACUUUUAAAACGUGAAGUGAGGCUGAGAAUGCUAGAGGCAUGGUCCCUCCCUGCAUCCACUGCAAGAUGUCCCACAUGCCAAGGGAACAGACCUGCUGAGCCUCCCAUGCCUCAUCAUCCAACGACUCAUCCCGAAGCAGAAGCCAGUUGUGCAAGGCAUGACUUUGCAUUGUUUCCUAUACUCACUUCCCUUUUUUCCUUUUUCUGCAGCUUCCCUGGCCUGGGCUUGUGCUUCCCAAAUAAAAUAUCAGCACUUUAGUCCUUGCUUCAGGCUGUCUUUUUCCCUAGAAAACUAAAGCCGUAUCUUAUUAGACUGUUACCGAGCAUGCCUGAUGGGUUGGUGUCCUCACUUCCAGUCACUGACCCCUUUCCAGUGGAAUCCAACACUGAAGCACAAGUCAAAUGUGGCACUCCCUUUCAGCGGGCUCCCACCAUCUGUAAAAUAGAGCCCAUACUCUUAUCGUCUGGUGUUAAUAGCUCUCUAGAUUUCGUCUCAAACUAAUUUCCCUGUUUUAGUUUCAGUGAUUUUUAAAUUCAUAUACCCUGUUCUCUAACUAAACUGAACUACUUGAACCUUUUUUUAUUACCCUGUAUCUUCUGACCUCCGUGCCCUUAAUUAUGCUUUUCCCUGAAUCUGAAAUGUUUGCACUUACAUCUCCUCUCUAUGUUUUAAAUUCUGUCCAUCAACGGCAAGCUCAAAUGUCAUCUUCUCAGAUUAAUUACCAAUUCCCUCCUCUCUGCUGCCAGCCCACAAAAUUUAAUAAUCUAUUUUUUUGGAACCCUCAAAUCAUCUUGUCUGUGCUUCUCUUGUGGUACUUCUUACUUUUUACCCUAUGUUAUAGUAUUUUGCGAUAUUUCUUCUCCCCAGUUAGACCAUAAGCUCCUUGAGAGUACAUCUGACUGAUUCAUCUUUGUUUCCCAGAGGCCUGGCAUGGUAACUUGCACAUAACUAGUGUUUAAGAAAAUUUUAUGAAACAAAUAAACAGUGACUGGGCAUGGUACCCCAUGUUUGUAAUCCCAGCACUUUGGGAAGCUGAGGCGGACAGAUUAUUUGAGUCCAUG
Molecule: RNA transcript, 1996 nt
Organism: Cercocebus atys (sooty mangabey)
Lineage: Eukaryota; Metazoa; Chordata; Mammalia; Primates; Cercopithecidae
Exons: 4
Source: RefSeq, a predicted model, not a curated record